ACGGGCAGAGGCUGGAUUCAACCCUAGACAGCCCAAGAGCCCACUCUCUUAGCCAGAGCCUGGAGGGCCUUGUCUCAUCGAGGGUCCCCAUCCCCAGGCCUCCAUCACCCAAUCAUCCGCUGCUGCUGGAUUUGCCCUGAUGUUCAGUGGUCCUUGCUGUGUAACGAGUAUCCCACAUGUAAUGACAUCAAACAAGAACCAUGGGGCGGCUGGGAUCCGAGCAGGACUCUCCUGAGAAGGAACUUGCCAAGAGAACUGAGAAGGAACUAUCCAAGAGAACUGGGCAGAGGCUUGGGCUUGUUGGGACACAGCCUCGGAAUCACACAGCAUUCCUGCUGCCGCAGUUGUAGCGUAAGCGUUCUAGUUUCGCCAUCAGGGAUCAAACUCCGGCCCCCUGCCUUGGGAGAGCGAAGCCUUAACCACCGGACCACUAGGAAGUCCGAGCACUGGUGGUUUCUUCAGGGUUCCUGAGUCUGAGAACACCUGUGUUAGACGAAGGCCUUUGUGAUCACUGGGCUAGACGACCUUCCCUCUCCAGAAACCCAGUGGGUACAUGAUGCCUUCACUGGCUGCUAGACUCAACAUAUUCUUUUUAAAGAGUUUGAAGGUGUUGUCACCUGCCCACUGACCAAGGACAAGUAGCUGUUUGUGCUGGAAAAAAAAUGGUGUAGAUUCAACCUGUUUAGCUACUGUGUUCCUUUGCAGUGUCAACAAAGAACUGAGAUGCAGGCUCCUUGUGUGGUUGUAACUCUUAAUUAUAACUCCAGAGCAGGGGCCAAGAGCAUUUCCCAAAGGACUUCUGGCCUUUAAAAAAUGACCCUCCAAUGGGAAACAAUAGGAGGCUCCCUUUAAACUUGCUUUUCCUUGGUCUGGUGCAGUGCACACAGGGCAAGUCCACAAAUGAUGCUCAAAAUAUGCUCAAAAUAUGUUUAACAGCAACUUUUAAAAAAAUUUUGUGUUUGCGUGCUCCGUCGAUCAGUUGUGUCUGACUCUUUGUGGCCCCAUGGACUGUAUUCUGACAGACUCCUCUGUCCUCGGAAUUUUCCAGGCAAGAAUACUGGAGUAGGUUGUCAUUUCCUCCUCCAGGGAAACUUCCCAACCAGGGCAUCGAACCUGUGUCUCUUGCACGUCCUGCUCUGGCAGUCAGGUUCUUACCCCUAGCGCCAUCUGGGAGGGCACGAAAGCUGGAACUAGUGCCUGGGAAUAUUUUUCAUACUCCUAAAAUGCCAAGUGGCUGAACCCGUCUCUUUUUUUCUAAUUUGGUGUGAAAUUCACAAAGAUCAUUGUAAGCAGUUUAUUCAUAACCGAGCAAUAAAACCGUGACAAGAUAAGCCCGCUGCCCAAGCGGGGAUGGGCCGUAUCUCCUUCCGUGUACAAACUCACCAUAUUGCAAAACUGUCGGCUUGUCUCCCGAGGUGAGAAGAGGUCCUUGGUGUUUGCUCAGAGCUGUUCCCUGCAGGC
Bos taurus (domestic cattle) is the source of this 1461-nucleotide long non-coding RNA. Lineage: Eukaryota; Metazoa; Chordata; Mammalia; Artiodactyla; Bovidae. The record is from Ensembl.